RNAcentral lists this ribosomal RNA (735 nucleotides) under Triticum aestivum (bread wheat). RNAcentral describes it as "partial small subunit ribosomal RNA". The record is from RNAcentral. Lineage: Eukaryota; Viridiplantae; Streptophyta; Magnoliopsida; Poales; Poaceae.
AUGUGUUGUAGACACGGACGGUUGCUCUAUAAAUGUCCCCAGACGCACAGAGACGGUGAGACAAGUUUCAUUAGGAAAAGAGGAAACGAAAGUGAGGGAGAGAUGGCCAAUUGCUUUGGUGAAGUAGUUGACAACUUCAAGCUGAAUGAGAUGCUGAGGUACGUGGGCAAGCCCAAGACGCGUGAAGACCGGGCACGAGAGGCCGUGAGCCUGAUGAACGAGGACAGCAAGAACAUCAAGGCUUCCAAGUACGUGGAAGGCGUCAAGGACUGGUACGGCGAUGGGGUGUCCACGCUGUGCAUCCUGUACAACGCGACCGGCGACACCCUCUACUACGUCGGCGAGCACGACUGGUUUGGCUUCAUCGGGCGCACACCCUACCCCGCCGAGAUCGGCAACGGUCAGUACGCCGCCUUCCUUCACACCCACAACACCGGCGCCGCGUCCGGCUCCGAGGGGGCCGUCGUGUACCGCGGGAAGAACAGAGAUGGCCAGGACCGGGACUACCUGGUUGCCUGGAGCACCCCAUUUGGUCCGUGGUACAGCAACAAGGCUUAUUGCGAGAUUGGUGGCGUCAACUACUUCGACGAUCGUUGGGGUCAUGUAUCCGGUAAAAUGGAGAACGGAGGCUACUCUUGCAACGCCAAGUCCGACGGGUGUGAGAUUCAAGCAACAACUGCCACGGGUGGUAGUCCCAUGUUCCACGCCAUAAUCAAAACACCCUUUGCUCCAUGA